AUACGGAGGAUCCAAGCGUUAUCCGGAUUUAUUGGGUUUAAAGGGUGCGUAGGCGGACUGGUAAGUCAGCUGUGAAAGUUUGCGGCUUAACCGUAAAAUUGCAGUUGAUACUGUCAGUCUUGAGUGUGCAUGAGGUGGGCGGAAUUUGUGGUGUAGCGGUGAAAUGCUUAGAUAUCACGAGGAACUCCAAUUGCGAAGGCAGCUCACUGGGGCAUAACUGACGCUGAUGGACGAAGGUGUGGGUAUCAAACAGGAUUAGAUACCCUGGUAGUCCACACAGUAAACUAUGAAUACUCGCUGUUUGCGAUAUACAGUAAGCGGCCAAGCGAAAGCAUUAAGUAUUCCACCUGGGGAGUACGCCGGCAACGGUGAAACUCAAAGGAAUUGACGGGG
RNAcentral lists this ribosomal RNA (393 nucleotides) under uncultured bacterium. RNAcentral describes it as "partial 16S ribosomal RNA". It matches the Rfam family "Bacterial small subunit ribosomal RNA", at positions 523 to 918 of the family's 1533-position model. The record is from RNAcentral.